Molecule: long non-coding RNA, 249 nt
Filed under: Mus musculus (house mouse)
Lineage: Eukaryota; Metazoa; Chordata; Mammalia; Rodentia; Muridae
Description: alncRNA-EC78
Source: RNAcentral
GCCUCCGCUGCUGCUGCUGCUGCGGCAGCUGCUUCUGCUGUGGCCUCCUCCAACGCUACUGUUAAUGCUGUGGUGGCUGCUGCUGUCACUGCUGCUUUCGCAGCGGUUACUGCUACUGCUGACAUCAAAGGCAGUGAACCAACUCCUCAAAGGCACAGUGGGGCUACUAAUGACAAGGAUUUCGCACUUAAGGCAAAAGAAGAACAUGAUAAGCCAAGAAGCAAAUCAACGGUGUGGAAGGCCUGGAAG